GGCUCAGAACGAACGCUGGCGGCGCGCCUAAUACAUGCAAGUCGAGCGAGAAGGUGUAGCAAUACACUUGUAAAGCGGCGAACGGGUGAGGAAUACAUGGGUAAUCUACCAUCGAGUGGGGAAUAACCAGCCGAAAGGUUGGCUAAUACCGCGUACGCCUCCGGAUCUUCGGGUUCGGAGGGAAAGCCGCACUGUGAGUGCGGCGCUCUUUGAUGAGCUCAUGUCCUAUCAGCUUGUUGGUAGGGUAACGGCCUACCAAGGCUUUGACGGGUAGCUGGUCUGAGAGGACGAUCAGCCACACUGGCACUGCGACACGGGCCAGACUCCUACGGGAGGCAGCAGUAAGGAAUAUUGCGCAAUGGGCGAAAGCCUGACGCAGCGACGCCGCGUGGGGGAUGAAGGUCUUCGGAUUGUAAACCCCUUUCGGGAGGGAAGAUGGAACGAGCAAUCGUUCGGACGGUACCUCCAGAAGCAGCCACGGCCAACUUCGUGCCAGCAGCCGCGGUAAUACGAAGGUGGCAAGCGUUGUUCGGAUUCACUGGGCGUACAGGGUGUGUAGGCGGUUUGGUAAGCCUUCUGUUAAAGCUUCGGGCCCAACCCGGAAAGCGCAGAGGGUACUGCCAGGCUAGAGGGUGGGAGAGGAGCGCGGAAUUCCCGGUGUAGCGGUGAAAUGCGUAGAGA
RNAcentral lists this ribosomal RNA (681 nucleotides) under uncultured nitrite-oxidizing bacterium. RNAcentral describes it as "bacterial SSU rRNA". It matches the Rfam family "Bacterial small subunit ribosomal RNA", at positions 21 to 696 of the family's 1533-position model. The record is from RNAcentral.